Molecule: long non-coding RNA, 1557 nt
Organism: Vicia villosa (hairy vetch)
Lineage: Eukaryota; Viridiplantae; Streptophyta; Magnoliopsida; Fabales; Fabaceae
Exons: 4
Source: RefSeq, a predicted model, not a curated record
CAAUUUUUCUUUCUCUCUCUCACGUCUCUCUUUUUCUUCUCCCUCUUUAUGUUUUCCCUCAUUCACUCUCUUAUCCCUCCAGAUUUCGUUUUCCUCCAUCAUUUUCCUUUUUCCACAUAUUUUGUUUGUUCAGACUGUUUCCUCCAUAGAAGAAAUGAUAUGCUUGAAAAGAAGGGUCUCAAAUCCCCAUUUUAUUUAAUGAUUGGAACCACUAUUGUUGGUUUAAUUUUUCAGAUCUGAACAAUAAUGGUUUUAAUUUUUGUUUUAUGUUGCUUUCUCAAGUAUUUUCUUUGACUCAUUUGUUUUCAAUAAAAUGACAGAAUCUAUUUGUGAGAACAGGAAGAUGAAGAAGGAAGAGUAUGAAGUUUGAGAAAGCGUGUCUGAGGGGAAGGAAAGGAGGAGGACCAACGAAGAAAGCUAUGACCAGAUCCGUCAGAUCCGGACUUCAAUUUCCCGUCGGAAAAAUUGGUUGUUACUUUAAGAAAGGUAGAUAUGCUCAAUAUGAUGGUAUCGAUGCUCCUGUUUACUUAGCUAUUGUUCUCGAAUAUCUUGAUGUUGACGUAAACUCAUAACUCUUUCAUUCUUCUUUUUAAGUUGUAACUUCUGUUAGUUAGGGAUUGAAGAUUACCAGACCUCAUUCACCAAGGAAUCGAAGAGUUGGGAUGACAUGAUUUGGCUUUGCAUUUUCGCUUUCAUAUAUUUUCUCCACAAAGUACUCUUCAUUUAGGUUUUUCGAGCUGAUACGGAUUUAGUUUUUUUACUGGUGCAGGUCCGGUUUGAAUGUGUAUUUGGACUCAUAAGCUCGACUUGGACCAUCUACGUUUUUUCGGUGUAGAUUCAAUUACAGGCAGCGAUGCAGGGCUGAAGUUUGCUUCGAAUGGUUUAAGAUAGUUGAAGGAUCCAGUGAGUGUGAGAAGUUCGCUCAAGACGUGUAGCUGAUUUAUAUGUUGAAUUGCAUGGUUUGAGGUAUUGAAAUUUGGUUAUUUCUAUGCUGCAAGUUCGCUCAAGACGUGUAGUUUCUUAUGACAUUUUCAUUUCGUUCUAACAAGCUUACCUUAACGCAAAGGAUUUGAAUCCAUCACUAUUGUCUUAAGAGCAUGUUCUUGAACCCUAACUCCCAAUUUCUCUGCUUCUUAGUCAGAAGAGGAUCAAAUAAAGUUCAAAAGUAAAAAAUGUGUUGAUUAUGGUUGUUUCGAUUCUGCUGGUGAUGGUUGUGUUCGGCACAUUUUCGGAACUCUUUAAAGAAAGCAGACGACUUUUUGAAGGAACAGCACACACAAGCUAUUUCAAGUAUGUCCACCAAGUGUUGACGAAAUUAUGUAGGGAUUAUGAAAUAUGGAGGAUGAAUAUUGUUGAGAAAUGUAAUUAUUAUGUUGUAAACGAUAUGCAGUGUGUUUUUGAAGGGAUCGUGAUGAGUUUAGUGUAAUAGGUUAUGUUUGUAGAGACAGGCUGUGAAGUUUAUGUUACUUUGAAGGUGGGAUGGUGAGGUUUGAAUAAGGUUUAUUUUGUUUCAGAGUGUAUAUCUUUCAAUUAAUUUUAUCCUCUCCCUAUUGAUAA